GGAGACCUUGGACCUGAGACGGCGCCUUCAGUUUCAAGUACUCAGCCUGCCAAAGUGUUACACUCUAGGGGUUCGCCUUCUGAGCCCCAGCACUCUCCGAGGGCAGCUAGCUCCUCAGUCAUACCCCUGAUGAUAGAAAUCUCUUUUCUCGUCGUUUUUUUCUUUGUUUCAGUAAGUACUGGGUACUGAACAGGGCCGUCACAGUGAGACACAUCCCCAGCCCCUUUUUAUUUCUUAUGUUGAUACAGGGUCUUGCUAAGUCACCAAGUUGCCCAGGCUGGGCUUGAACUUGUGACCCUCCUGCCUCCUGCUGGGACUGCAGCCACGCACCACCACACCCAGCUAAGAACUCUUCUUGAGAAGAGCAGAAAGCUGCCUCUCCGCGGCCCUCACUCCCCAGUGGUCCCUGGGACAGGAGGCUGUGCUGGGAUCCUGGUCAGCAACGCCCCUGCUGGAAACUGGGCACAGGGCGCUCCCUCGGGCGCAGCUGGCCCCGUGCCCAGGAAGGUCCUACUUCGGGUCCUACUGCUGACCUCACACGAGUGGAGUCUCUGGAUCGUGACCCCAACCACCAGGAGAAGAGGGCCCCAAAAGCUAAAGGAAAGGGC
Molecule: long non-coding RNA, 608 nt
Filed under: Fukomys damarensis (Damara mole-rat)
Lineage: Eukaryota; Metazoa; Chordata; Mammalia; Rodentia; Bathyergidae
Description: lncRNA (ENSFDAG00000030469.1)
Source: RNAcentral